GACGAACGCUGGCGGCGUGCCUAAUACAUGCAAGUCGAGCGAGUCUGCCUUGAAGAUCGGAGUGCUUGCACUCUGUGAAACAAGAUACAGGCUAGCGGCGGACGGGUGAGUAACACGUGGGUAACCUGCCCAAGAGAUCGGGAUAACACCUGGAAACAGAUGCUAAUACCGGAUAACAACAGAUGAUGCCUAUCAACUGUUUAAAAGAUGGUUCUGCUAUCACUCUUGGAUGGACCUGCGGUGCAUUAGCUAGUUGGUAGGGUAACGGCCUACCAAGGCGAUGAUGCAUAGCCGAGUUGAGAGACUGAUCGGCCACAUUGGGACUGAGACACGGCCCAAACUCCUACGGGAGGCAGCAGUAGGGAAUCUUCCACAAUGGACGCAAGUCUGAUGGAGCAACGCCGCGUGAGUGGAGAAGGGUUUCGGCUCGUAAAGCUCUGUUGUUGGUGAAGAAGGACAGGGGUAGUAACUGACCUUUGUUUGACGGUAAUCAAUUAGAAAGUCACGGCUAACUACGUGCCAGCAGCCGCGGUAAUACGUAGGUGGCAAGCGUUGUCCGGAUUUAUUGGGCGUAAAGCGAGUGCAGGCGGCUCGAUAAGUCUGAUGUGAAAGCCUUCGGCUCAACCGGAGAAUUGCAUCAGAAACUGUCGAGCUUGAGUACAGAAGAGGAGAGUGGAACUCCAUGUGUAGCGGUGAAAUGCGUAGAUAUAUGGAAGAACACCGGUGGCGAAGGCGGCUCUCUGGUCUGUUACUGACGCUGAGGCUCGAAAGCAUGGGUAGCGAACAGG
Molecule: ribosomal RNA, 788 nt
Filed under: Lactobacillus iners
Lineage: Bacteria; Bacillati; Bacillota; Bacilli; Lactobacillales; Lactobacillaceae
Description: bacterial SSU rRNA
Rfam family: Bacterial small subunit ribosomal RNA
Source: RNAcentral